UACGUAGGGUGCAAGCGUUGUCCGGAAUUAUUGGGCGUAAAGAGCUCGUAGGCGGUUUGUCGCGUCUGCUGUGAAAACCCGAGGCUCAACCUCGGGCCUGCAGUGGGUACGGGCAGACUAGAGUGCGGUAGGGGAGAUUGGAAUUCCUGGUGUAGCGGUGGAAUGCGCAGAUAUCAGGAGGAACACCAAUGGCGAAGGCAGCUCGCUGGGACGGUACUGACGCUGAGGCGCGAAAGCGUGGGGAGCGAACAGG
This 253-nucleotide ribosomal RNA is filed under the name uncultured bacterium. Its description in RNAcentral is "partial 16S ribosomal RNA". It matches the Rfam family "Bacterial small subunit ribosomal RNA", at positions 524 to 776 of the family's 1533-position model. The record is from RNAcentral.